Non-coding RNA from Camelus ferus (Wild Bactrian camel), 67 nucleotides. NCBI's taxonomy places the organism in Eukaryota, Metazoa, Chordata, Mammalia, Artiodactyla, Camelidae. The record is from Rfam.
GGUAAUAGCUCAGUGCUAGAGCACCUGCUUAGCAUGCGCGAGGUCCUGGGUUCAAUUCCCAGAACCU